GGUCGCGUGGCCCAACUAGCAGAGGCAUUCGACUUAAAAUCGAAGAGAUGCGGGUGCAAAUCCUGCCGCGACCA
RNAcentral lists this transfer RNA (74 nucleotides) under Verrucomicrobiales bacterium. RNAcentral's name for it is "tRNA-Leu". It matches the Rfam family "tRNA". Rfam says of the family: Transfer RNA (tRNA) molecules are approximately 80 nucleotides in length. The record is from RNAcentral. Lineage: Bacteria; Pseudomonadati; Verrucomicrobiota; Verrucomicrobiia; Verrucomicrobiales.